UGAUGAUGGUGAUGGUGAGGUGAGGUUACUGUGUGAUGGUGGUGUGGUGAUGAGGUGAUGGUGUGAUGAUGGUGUGGUGAUGGUGUGAUGAUGGUGUGGUGAUGAUGAGGUGAUGGUGUGAUGAUGGUGUGGUGAUGGUGAGGUGAUGGUGUGGUGUUGGUGUGGUGAUGGUGAGGUUACUGUGUGGUAAUGGUGUGAUGAUAGUGAUGGUGAUGGUGUGGUGAUGGUGAGGUUACUGUGUGGUGAUGGUGUGAUGAUGGUGGUGUGGUGUGGUGAUGGUGAGGUUUCUGUGUGGUGAUGGUGUGGUGAUGGUGUGGUGAUGGUGUGGUGAUGGUGUGGUG
Molecule: long non-coding RNA, 341 nt
Organism: Oncorhynchus keta (chum salmon)
Lineage: Eukaryota; Metazoa; Chordata; Actinopteri; Salmoniformes; Salmonidae
Exons: 3
Source: RefSeq, a predicted model, not a curated record